Molecule: ribosomal RNA, 460 nt
Filed under: uncultured bacterium
Lineage: Bacteria
Description: partial 16S ribosomal RNA
Rfam family: Bacterial small subunit ribosomal RNA
Source: RNAcentral
CCUACGGGAGACUGCAGUGAGGAAUAUUGGUCAAUGGACGAGAGUCUGAACCAGCCAAGCAGCGUGAAGGAUGACUGCCCUAUGGGUUGUAAACUUCUUUUAUAUGGGAAUAAAACGUUCCACGUGUGGGAUUUUGUAUGUACCAUAUGAAUAAGGAUCGGCUAACUCCGUGCCAGCAGCCGCGGUAAUACGGAGGAUCCGAGCGUUAUCCGGAUUUAUUGGGUUUAAAGGGAGCGUAGGUGGAUUUUUAAAUCAGUUGUGAAAGUUUGCGGCUCAACCGUAAAAUUGCAGUUGAAACUGGCAGUCUUGAGUACAGUAGAGGUGGGCGGAAUUCGUGGUGUAGCGGUGAAAUGCUUAGAUAUCACGAAGAACUCCGAUUGCGAAGGCAGUUCACUGGACUGCAACUGACACUGAGGCUCGAAAGUGUGGGUAUCAAACAGGAUUAGAUACCCUUGUAGUC